Molecule: long non-coding RNA, 1580 nt
Filed under: Aedes aegypti (yellow fever mosquito)
Lineage: Eukaryota; Metazoa; Arthropoda; Insecta; Diptera; Culicidae
Description: lncRNA AAEL024621
Source: RNAcentral
UGAAGAUUUUGUGAAUUUUUCAUAAAUCGCUUCUUCAUCGAUUUAUGAAAAAUUCUUCCGCUACGGUAGAGUUGUGUUACGUUUGUAAUUGUUUUGCUGAAGAACUAUGUAAUUAUGACCAAAUUAGAUGUUAAGCAAACUUUGUAUUAUCGGCAAAAGUCAAGGUAAUUAAAAUCGCUCCGCAGUUUGCGUUAUGAAAACCUCCGCGCAAAAGAACAUGAUGAUGGAAAUCGUUCAAUGACAGUCAUCACCAGCCCCGCACAUGCCGUACACUCGUACACCAAUACCAAUACCAAUACGUCCAUAAGUGGCAGCAAGGCAAAAGCGCAAAACCAGCUUGCCGUGGGCGCAUGGCUGCUACCAUACCACGAGAGAUCAUCAGCAAAAGGAAGGCAAUCCAUCAACCCUCACAGAACGACUUCAACACAGGCAAACAGACAUCACCACUACGAUGUUUCGAGAGUAAGCGAGAAGAAGCGGGAGAGCACACAAUUUGAGAACAUUCGUCUCGCCGAUGGUGUUGGUUGCAUUUCGGCCUAACCAGACACCGACUCACACAAGUCCUCAUACGGGAUGGACAAACGAUCGCAUCGAAUCGGAAUUAGUUGGUGUUCGUCCGUAAAUCAAGUCGCUCGCAGUUAGUCUCGCUUGCGAAAAACAAUUCAAAUCCGGUGAAGUGAUCAGGAAAUAAUUGUGAUCCUUCGGCAAAGCGCAUUCUGGCUACGUUUGGCCGCGCAGAUUGUGAAUUCGGGAAAAGAUCGCUCCCAAAAGAAGUGAGCGCAUCCAGCGUGUGUUUUUCAGCAGAUCACGACUAACGAAGAUCGGAGAGCGGAUUGGCAAGAAUCGGGCAAAAUUAUUCCUUGACGUCGGGCACCGGACGCAAUCGAGAUCAGCUUUUGGACCCCACGUAUCGUUGGACUGGACGCAAGUAUCGCGAGACUGGAACGAUCAAUAGAAGAACCAUUGAAACGACCGGAUCGAUCUUCGGCGGCGCGAGCAGAGGCCGUUCCAGGCUCAAUCGAAUAGGACGCUUUGAGGCAAACAGCACCCCGUAAACUGGCUAAAUCACGCAACACGACCGGAGCGAUCAAGACAAAGUUUCGUCGGACAAUAAGAACCCCUCAAAGGGGUUCUUUUUUCUUAUUGCAGUGUCAGUCGUCUCAAGUCAGGAAUUCAGGCCCAGUUCGAGCGUCACCACGCCCAGAAACGCGCUUCCGUCAGCGUCAGUAUAUCGGCACACACGGUGCUAGGGAGGAAGCAGCGGUUCCCAAACGAGUGCUUGCGGUGCGACAAGGCUGAUCGGAGGAGUCUUGCCAGCUGCCAGCCCACAGGGUCGAGGCAGUCAUGUCGAUCGCCGAGAAUGGAACGAGCAUGCGGCGGUGCACGCGUGGCCAAGUGAUGACCGGGUUGUGCGACAGGCCGGUGGCAUAAACCAGCUGUGAGCGGUAACCGUGAGUGAUUAAGUAAGAUCGAUGCCAAUUGAUUAUAAGAACACACAUUAAGAUAGCGCAGGAGGUUAGGACCACAGAUUAGGAGGGAGAUAUGAGCAAAACAGACAAUACAAACUUUUGAAAUGAGAA